Molecule: ribosomal RNA, 798 nt
Filed under: Staphylococcus sp. KSUM_69
Lineage: Bacteria; Bacillati; Bacillota; Bacilli; Caryophanales; Staphylococcaceae
Description: bacterial SSU rRNA
Rfam family: Bacterial small subunit ribosomal RNA
Source: RNAcentral
CGCUGGCGGCGUGCCUAAUACAUGCAAGUCGAGCGAACAGACAAGGAGCUUGCUCCUUUGACGUUAGCGGCGGACGGGUGAGUAACACGUGGGUAACCUACCUAUAAGACUGGGAUAACUUCGGGAAACCGGAGCUAAUACCGGAUAAUAUUUCGAACCGCAUGGUUCGAUAGUGAAAGAUGGUUUUGCUAUCACUUAUAGAUGGACCCGCGCCGUAUUAGCUAGUUGGUAAGGUAACGGCUUACCAAGGCGACGAUACGUAGCCGACCUGAGAGGGUGAUCGGCCACACUGGAACUGAGACACGGUCCAGACUCCUACGGGAGGCAGCAGUAGGGAAUCUUCCGCAAUGGGCGAAAGCCUGACGGAGCAACGCCGCGUGAGUGAUGAAGGUCUUCGGAUCGUAAAACUCUGUUAUUAGGGAAGAACAUACGUGUAAGUAACUAUGCACGUCUUGACGGUACCUAAUCAGAAAGCCACGGCUAACUACGUGCCAGCAGCCGCGGUAAUACGUAGGUGGCAAGCGUUAUCCGGAAUUAUUGGGCGUAAAGCGCGCGUAGGCGGUUUAAGUCUGAUGUGAAAGCCCACGGCUCAACCGUGGAGGGUCAUUGGAAACUGGAAAACUUGAGUGCAGAAGAGGAAAGUGGAAUUCCAUGUGUAGCGGUGAAAUGCGCAGAGAUAUGGAGGAACACCAGUGGCGAAGGCGACUUUCUGGUCUGUAACUGACGCUGAUGUGCGAAAGCGUGGGGAUCAAACAGGAUUAGAUACCCUGGUAGUCCACGCCGUAAACGAUGAGUGCU